UGCGGGGUAGAGCAGUCUGGUUAGCUCGACAGGCUCAUAACCUGUAGGUCGUUGGUUCAAAUCCGUCCCCCGCAA
This 75-nucleotide transfer RNA is filed under the name Ehrlichia cf. muris str. EmCRT. RNAcentral's name for it is "tRNA-Met". It matches the Rfam family "tRNA". From Rfam's summary of the family: Transfer RNA (tRNA) molecules are approximately 80 nucleotides in length. Their secondary structure includes four short double-helical elements and three loops (D, anti-codon, and T loops). The record is from RNAcentral. RNAcentral also lists the same sequence under 3 other names. Lineage: Bacteria; Pseudomonadati; Pseudomonadota; Alphaproteobacteria; Rickettsiales; Anaplasmataceae.